This 846-nucleotide ribosomal RNA is filed under the name uncultured bacterium. Its description in RNAcentral is "bacterial SSU rRNA". It matches the Rfam family "Bacterial small subunit ribosomal RNA", at positions 8 to 832 of the family's 1533-position model. The record is from RNAcentral.
AGAGUUUGAUCCUGGCUCAGAACGAACGCUGGCGGCGUGGCUAAGACAUGCAAGUCAAACGGUCCGACAUUUAUUUGUUUACAAAUUCAUGUCGGAUAGUGGCGAAAGGGUUAGUAAUAGAUAGGUAACGUACCCUCUGCUUUGGGAUAGCGUCAUUCGUCUUCGGACGAAUUUCCGAAAGGGGCGGUAAUACCGAAUAAUAUCAUUUGUCGAUGGGCAAAUGAUCAAAGAUUUAUCGGCAAAGGAGCGGCCUAUCUCCUAUCAGCUUGUUGGUGAGGUAAAGGCUCACCAAGGCUAUGACGGGUAGCGGGACUGAGAGGUUGACCCGCAACAUCGGGACUGAGACACUGCCCGGACCUCCACGGAGGGCUGCAGUAACGAAUAUUGCGCAAUGGGCGAAAGCCUGACGCAGCGACGCCGCGUGUAGGAGGAAGUCUCUCGGGAUGUAAACUACUGUCAGGGUUAAGAAAGUACGUUUCGGCGUAUUGAUCUAACCCAGAGGAAGUCACGGCUAACUUCGUGCCAGCAGCCGCGGUAAGACGAAGGUGGCUAGCGUUGUUCGGUGUCACUGGGCUUAAAGAGUAUGUAGACGGAUAGGUAAGCGUCUUGUGAAAUCCCUCAGCUUAACUGAGGAAUUGCUAGGCGAACUGCUUAUCUUGAGGCAAGUAGGGGUGCAUGGAACUCUUGGUGGAGCGGUGGAAUGCGUAGAUAUCAAGAGGAACGCCGAUGGAGAAAUCAGUGCACUGGGCUUGUCCUGACGCUGAGAUACGAAAGCGUGGGAGCGACGGGAUUAGAUACCCCGGGUAGUCCACGCCGUAAACGAUGUCUACCUAGGGCCUGCCAGAU